This 246-nucleotide ribosomal RNA is filed under the name Triticum aestivum (bread wheat). RNAcentral's name for it is "partial small subunit ribosomal RNA". The record is from RNAcentral. Lineage: Eukaryota; Viridiplantae; Streptophyta; Magnoliopsida; Poales; Poaceae.
AUGCAGCUGGUAUCAGGUGGUCAUGCAGUCGUGGUUGUUAAUGGCUCGAUUAGCAAAUACUUCACCAAUGGUCGGGGCCUGCGGCAACGCAACCUGGUCUCACCUAUUUUGUUUAACUUUGUGGCUAAUGCCUUAUCUUGCAUGCUGGAUCGGGCGGCCUCAGCUGGGCAUAUCGCCCCUGUCAUUUCCCACCUCCUUCCCCUUGGUAUCACUCACCUACAAUAUGCGGACGACAAUUCUAGUUGA